GAUUGAGAGGAAUUAUUUCUUCUUCCUUCUUCUUCGGUUGUCUAUCGAAAUCCGAUGACGACGUCCACUCCUCUAACGGUGAGAUCGUUGAUGACUAUACAGUCCUAUCCUGGACCCACAAGCUCUAUUGCAGGCACUGCUCCUUGAAGAUACCCUGGCCGUUAGUCUCGGCCUGAAACGUCGACUGCGCCUCUUCCUAUAGAUGCUGCUUGGCCUGCUGCGUUCACCAGCAACUUUGAUUACAAGAAAACACAUGUACACUGAGCACUGUUGCAGGAAAGCAGCAUCCUUCAUCGGAGACCCUCACCACCCAGAUCGUGCUCUCUUCUCAUUGCUGCCAUCAGGAAGAAGGGGCAGGAGCUUCAGACCGCACACCACCAGGAUCGGGAACAGUUAACCAUCAGGCUCUUGAAACAAAGGGGAUAACUUUACUCAACUUCACUUGCCCCAUCACUGAACUGUUCCCACAAAUUAUGGAUUUACUUUCCAGGACUCUUCAUAUCAUGUUCUCAAUAUUUAUUGUUUAUUUAUUUAUUUAUUAUUAUUUCUUAGUUUUUCAUUUGUAUGUGCACAGUUUGUUGACUUUUGCACGUUGGUUGUCUGCCUUUUUGGGUGCAAUCUUUCAUUGUUUCUGUUAUAGUUACUAGAUUAAUUGAGUAUGCCCACAAGAAAAUGAAUCUUAGGGUUGUAUAUAGUGACAAAUAUGUACUCUGAUAAUAAAUUUACUUUUGAACUUUUUUUGAGAUGAGCUCAGCCUUCUUAA
Molecule: long non-coding RNA, 763 nt
Organism: Mobula hypostoma (lesser devil ray)
Lineage: Eukaryota; Metazoa; Chordata; Chondrichthyes; Myliobatiformes; Myliobatidae
Exons: 3
Source: RefSeq, a predicted model, not a curated record